Molecule: transfer RNA, 74 nt
Filed under: Pseudomonadota bacterium
Lineage: Bacteria; Pseudomonadati; Pseudomonadota
Also listed under: 4 other names
Description: tRNA-Val
Rfam family: tRNA
About the family: Transfer RNA (tRNA) molecules are approximately 80 nucleotides in length.
Source: RNAcentral
GGGGGCGUAGCUCAGCUGGUUAGAGCGUUGCGUUGACAUCGCAAAGGUCACAAGUUCGAGUCUUGUCGCUCCCA